Molecule: long non-coding RNA, 149 nt
Organism: Suncus etruscus (white-toothed pygmy shrew)
Lineage: Eukaryota; Metazoa; Chordata; Mammalia; Eulipotyphla; Soricidae
Exons: 3
Source: RefSeq, a predicted model, not a curated record
GCAGAACUUAAGUCACGAUUCCACAACACACCGACUGGGCUGCUGCUCCAGAGGCUUGGGCGAAGAGGUCAUAAGCAACAGAAGAGCCUUGGAUGGCCAGUUCUCCGGAAGUGUGGGAGACAUCUGAUACUCUGCUAGGAUUUGUCGAG